AGAGUUUGAUCCUGGCUCAGAAUCAACGCUGGCGGCGUGCCUAACACAUGCAAGUCGCACGAGAAAGGGUCUUCGGAUCUGAGUAAAGUGGCGCACGGGUGAGUAACACGUGACUAAUCUACCCUCGAGUGGGGAAUAACCUAGGGAAACCUGGGCUAAUACCGCAUAACACUUACGAGUCAAAGCAGCAAUGCGCUUGGGGAGGAGGUCGCGGCAGAUUAGCUAGUUGGUGGGGUAAUGGCCCACCAAGGCGAUGAUCUGUAUCCGGCCUGAGAGGGCGCACGGACACACUGGAACUGAAACACGGUCCAGACUCCUACGGGAGGCAGCAGUGGGGAAUUUUGCGCAAUGGGGGAAACCCUGACGCAGCAACGCCGCGUGGAGGAUGAAGUCUCUUGGGACGUAAACUCCUUUCGACAGGGACGAUAAUGACGGUACCUGUAGAAGAAGCCCCGGCUAACUUCGUGCCAGCAGCCGCGGUAAUACGAGGGGGGCAAGCGUUGUUCGGAAUUAUUGGGCGUAAAGGGCGCGUAGGCGGUUUGGCAAGUUUCGUGUGAAAUCUUCGGGCUCAACUCGAAGUCUGCACGGAAAACUGCCGGGCUUGAGUAUGGGAGAGGUGAGUGGAAUUUCCGGUGUAGCGGUGAAAUGCGUAGAUAUCGGAAGGAACACCUGUGGCGAAAGCGGCUCACUGGACCAUAACUGACGCUGAGGCGCGAAAGCUAGGGGAGCAAACAGGAUUAGAUACCCUGGGUAGUCCUAGCCCUAAACGAUGAUUGUUUGAUGUGGCAGGUACUCAAUCCUGCCGUGUCGAAGCUAACGCGAUAAACAAUCCGUCUGGGGA
Molecule: ribosomal RNA, 841 nt
Filed under: uncultured bacterium
Lineage: Bacteria
Description: bacterial SSU rRNA
Rfam family: Bacterial small subunit ribosomal RNA
Source: RNAcentral